CAUUUGUAUACAUAUUUUAUAAAACUUCACUUUAUAGUUAUUGUCUCCAUCAUUACUUCAACCAGUGAUGGUGACAUAAAAUCUUAUUUUUUAUCUCUCUUUAGUAUGUCAUCACUGGAUCUGGAUGUCAUCAGUGAAGAUGAACUUAACAACAUUAAAAACUCAAUGUAAGUUGUUGUGUUGACUGAAUAGAUGUUUUAAAUUAUAUUGUUAGAUUGAAUAUAAUUUUCCAAUUUUACUACAUAGUAUCGAGUGGGAAGAUGACACCUGGUGUCCUGAUAUGGAGACAAAGUCUGUGUCAUCAUUUGAAGAAGACGAAACAAAGGAAAUAGAUACAGACUAUGAUGACAGUGAUGAUGAGGACUAUAUGCCACAUAUUUGUGUGCGGCAGGUUCAAUAAUGUAUGACUAUUAUAUUGAAGUUAUUCAUAUGUUUGCUAGAUAUUUUUUAAAUAUUUGUGUUACAACAGGACUGGCGGUGCUCUGAAGACUCCGAUUUGUCUGAAUUCCCUUCAAACAAUUAGUAUGGAGGACACUGUGCACGAUGCUGAAGACAACUCCCAAGACCCUACUAUUGCAGACAUACAUCCAAUCCCAGAGACUGCUAAAAUCAUGGUUGAGGAUGACAUAAUUGGCCAGCCAGCAUCUAUAACAUACCACAGUUGUCUGAAGCUGCUUGCUGAAUAUCUUGUUCUACCUGUGAACAUGUGUACUGCUAAGGACACAAACACAAAUGCAGAGUGUGGGGCACAUAAACCAUUUGAGGUCAACAUCCAUUCCGGGGGUACAGCUGCAAUUGUGGAAUGGAUAUGUUGUAAUGGUCACACUGUUUGGAAAUGGUCUGGAUGUCUGGCAUGGGUCCAAAAACUUGAGCAAAAAAAUUCACGCAGUAAGUAUAAUAAAUCCGCAUCAGUAAUCACAUUUCAUCUGAUCACAAUAAAAACUUACAUAACAGCACCCUUCCAUACCUUUUUAUUUCUUUUUUAAAUAUAUUAUUGUAUUUUUAAUCCUGUUGACAUAAUCAUAGUUUACCUAAUACAAAAGAAUAAUUGUUUAUGCAUCCAGGCAGGGCAGCAAAAGGGGUGUGCCAUUCUCCAGAUGUGGAAUAAAGACAUCUGCAACCACUUCUGGUACUGCUGU
Cyprinus carpio (common carp) is the source of this 1139-nucleotide long non-coding RNA. The record is from Ensembl. Lineage: Eukaryota; Metazoa; Chordata; Actinopteri; Cypriniformes; Cyprinidae.